Molecule: ribosomal RNA, 314 nt
Filed under: uncultured Glomeromycotina
Lineage: Eukaryota; Fungi; Glomeromycota
Description: SSU rRNA
Rfam family: Eukaryotic small subunit ribosomal RNA
Source: RNAcentral
AGCAGCCGCGGUAAUUCCAGCUCCAAUAGCGUAUAUUAAAGUUGUUGCAGUUAAAAAGCUCGUAGUUGAAUUUCGGGACCAAUAUGUCGGUCGUGCUUCGGUACGUACUUGCAUUAUUGGUUUCUCCCUUCUGAAGAACCAUGAUGUCAUUAAUUUGGUGUCUUGGGGAAUCAGGACUGUUACUUUGAAAAAUUAGAGUGUUUAAAGCAGGCUCACGCUUGAAUACAUUAGCAUGGAAUAAUGAAAUAGGACGUUUGAUUCUAUUUUGUUGGUUUCUAGGAUCGACGUAAUGAUUAAUAGGGAUAGUUGGGGGC